This 197-nucleotide ribosomal RNA is filed under the name uncultured bacterium. RNAcentral describes it as "partial 16S ribosomal RNA". It matches the Rfam family "Bacterial small subunit ribosomal RNA", at positions 335 to 524 of the family's 1533-position model. The record is from RNAcentral.
ACUCCUACGGGAGGCAGCAGUGGGGAAUUUUGGACAAUGGGCGCAAGCCUGAUCCAGCCAUUCCGCGUGAGUGAAGAAGGCCUUCGGGUUGUAAAGCUCUUUCGGCAGGGACGAAACGGUGGAGGCGAAUACCCUCUGCUAAUGACGGUACCUGAAGAAGAAGCACCGGCUAACUACGUGCCAGCAGCCGCGGUAAU